RNAcentral lists this transfer RNA (98 nucleotides) under Alternaria alternata. It matches the Rfam family "tRNA". Rfam says of the family: Transfer RNA (tRNA) molecules are approximately 80 nucleotides in length. Their secondary structure includes four short double-helical elements and three loops (D, anti-codon, and T loops). RNAcentral also lists the same sequence under 3 other names. Lineage: Eukaryota; Fungi; Ascomycota; Dothideomycetes; Pleosporales; Pleosporaceae. The record is from Rfam by way of RNAcentral.
GGUGAGAUGGCCGAGUUGGUUAUGGCGCCAGGUUAAGGUUACCUUAACACAUAUUCCUGGUCACGAAAGUGGCGUGGGUUCGAGUCCCACUCUCAUCA